This 440-nucleotide ribosomal RNA is filed under the name uncultured bacterium. RNAcentral's name for it is "partial 16S ribosomal RNA". It matches the Rfam family "Bacterial small subunit ribosomal RNA", at positions 338 to 795 of the family's 1533-position model. The record is from RNAcentral.
CCUACGGAGGGCAGCAGUGGGGAAUAUUGGACAAUGGGGGGAACCCUGAUCCAGCGACGCCGCGUGAGUGAAGAAGUAUUUCGGUAUGUAAAGCUCUAUCAGCAGGGAAGAAAAUGACGGUACCUGAUUAAGAAGCUCCGGCUAACUACGGGCCAGCAGCCGCGGUAAUAAGUAGGGGGCAAGCGUUAUCCGGAUUUACUGGGGGUAAAGGGAGCGUAGUCGGCAGCACGAGGCUGGAGUGAAAUGCCGGGGCUUAACCCCGGAACUGCGUUGGAAACUGUGCAGCUAGAGUGCAGGAGAGGUAAGUGGAAUUCCUAGUGUAGCGGUGAAAUGCGUAGAUAUUAGGAAGAACACCAGUGGCGAAGGCGGCUUACUGGACUGUAACUGACGUUGAGGCUCGAAAGCGUGGGGAGCAAACAGGAUUAGAUACCCGUGUAGUC